This 270-nucleotide ribosomal RNA is filed under the name uncultured archaeon. RNAcentral's name for it is "partial 16S ribosomal RNA". It matches the Rfam family "Archaeal small subunit ribosomal RNA", at positions 477 to 747 of the family's 1478-position model. The record is from RNAcentral.
CUGCAGCCCGAGUGGUGAUCGAUUUUAUUGAGCCUAAAGCGUCCGUAGCCGGACUAGUAAACCCUUGGGUACAUUGGGCAGCUUAACUGUCCAAAUUCCGAGGGGACUGCUAGUCUUGGGACCGGGAGAGGUCAGAGGUACUCAAGGGGUAGGGGCUAAAUCCUGUAAUCCUUUGGGGACCACCAGUGGCGAAGGCGUCUGACUAGAACGGAUCCGACGGUAAGGGACGAAACCCUGGGGCGCGAACCGGAUUAGAUACCCGAGUAGUCC